GGGCCGUUAGCUCAGCUGGUAGAGCAGGAGACUCUUAAUCUCAAGGUCGAAGGUUCGAGCCCUUCACGGCCCA
Molecule: transfer RNA, 73 nt
Filed under: Actinomycetota bacterium
Lineage: Bacteria; Bacillati; Actinomycetota
Description: tRNA-Lys
Rfam family: tRNA
About the family: Transfer RNA (tRNA) molecules are approximately 80 nucleotides in length. Their secondary structure includes four short double-helical elements and three loops (D, anti-codon, and T loops). Further hydrogen bonds mediate the characteristic L-shaped molecular structure. tRNAs have two regions of fundamental functional importance: the anti-codon, which is responsible for specific mRNA codon recognition, and the 3' end, to which the tRNAs corresponding amino acid is attached (by aminoacyl-tRNA synthetases). tRNAs cope with the degeneracy of the genetic code in two manners: having more than one tRNA (with a specific anti-codon) for a particular amino acid; and 'wobble' base-pairing, i.e. permitting non-standard base-pairing at the 3rd anti-codon position.
Source: RNAcentral